This 4790-nucleotide long non-coding RNA is filed under the name Helianthus annuus (common sunflower). Its description in RNAcentral is "hypothetical non coding rna". Lineage: Eukaryota; Viridiplantae; Streptophyta; Magnoliopsida; Asterales; Asteraceae. The record is from RNAcentral.
GACUACAUUUUCCCCACAAAAAGGUUACUUCUUCCUCCUUCUCACAUACAACAUCUGCUCCCUCUCACUAAAAUACACAUCUACUUGCACUUAUAAUUAUCAUUGCCAUACAUGAUACUAACUUGAGCGUCGGAGUGCCCUCGGGGUGAACCCCCUCGGGCCCUCUAACUAGAUCUACCUGUGGCUGCAGCCCAAGACACGGUGCCCCGCAAGAGGAACUGUCACCACGACGAUGAGAAGACGAACCUGAACCGGAGCUCACCGAAUCUAAGGUUAGUACCGCCAAGCCCUUUGAACGACUUCAGGGAUUUGGGGAUUCGACAUUGGCGCCAUCCGUGGGACCAAGUGCAAGCAUGCCUCGGUCCCUUCAUACAAACGGCUAGAUCUGCAUCUUCGCGACCGUCAGAUCUGCAUUUUGACUCCGGUCACCAGCAUGUUAAUGCAACGUGCCUUCAUACGAGAGUUGGUCCCAUAUUGACAGCUGCAGGAAUUUGAGGAAACGGUAACUGAAAAAGAUUUCAUGAGGCUUAUAAACAUACACAAUGUUCUACACGCAAGAUUGUGAAAAACAGGCGGUAAAGGCACCUUUCCGUAGGGUAAGGAAGCUCCCUAUGUGGAGUUAUAAUUGACAUUGUGUGACAUAAUCAACGCAUAAAAAUGAAAAAUGUAGUACACAUGCUAAAUUAAGCUCCCUAGAUGUGAAAUGUGUUCAAAUUACAGGUAGAACUAAGAACUGGACAAAAAGCAAGAUGGGCAAUGAGUCAAAUGAGUUCAGGACAAAAUGGCACUUUUAAAAGUGGAUCAAAAGUGGUUUGACCCGACAACAUUUUUUAUUUUCCUUUUUAUGGUAAUUUAGAUAAUUAGAUGUUGCCAUAGAAUUGUCCCUUCAGAUUUGUCAACGUGAGGUCCUCACAAAUCUUUAAAUGGCGCAAAAGUUUAACAGGCUUUGUGGUUCAAGUUCUUUCUAUCAUUCACUGGAACAGGUAGGGCUUUAAACGAACCGAACGAACACGAACAAGGUCUUGUUCGUGUUCGUUCGUUAAGGAAAUAAAUGUGUUCAUGAACACUUACCGAACGAGAUUUUAUGUUCGUGUUCGUUCAUUAAGGAAAUGAGCGUGUUCGCGAACAGUUCACGAACACAAAUAAAUUUAGCGAACUCGACGAAGGAUAAAGAUAGAUGGCCCAGAGAGUAGCACUCGAACUUGAAUCCCUUAUUGUGGAACGGAGGUCGAUCGUUUUCGUGGAUGUAAAUAAUGAGAAAUGAAAGGGAAAUGAUGCAUAAACAAGGUGAAAAUGAGUUUCCUAGCUUAAUUGUUAAGGAAAUAAAAUAAAUAAAAGUUUAAUUAUAUAAAACGUACAAACAAAAUACAAGAAAGUACAAAGAUCUUCAAUUAAAACACAAACAUAUGAACAUAAAUGAACGCAAAUCCACGAAUGUUCACGAACACAUUCACGAACACCUUACCGAACGUUCACGAACACAAUCGAACGAACGAGACCUCUGUUCAUGUUCGUUCAUUUAACUAAUCGAACGAAAUUUCUUGUUCAUGUUCGUUCGUUUAUUAAACGAACGAACAUAAACGAACUUCCCGCCGAACGGUUCACGAACUGUUCGCUGAACGUUCGGUUCGUUUACAGCCCUAGGUACAAGAACCCCAUAACGCGCACACACAUAAAUACCUGGCAGCCUUCUGUAACAGCUAAUAUUGAGCUUUCAUUUCCACUGUCUAAGUGCUGUAAAAAGCUCACUGCAGUAGGGUACCAUAAUCUGCAAUAAGGAUGUAAUUUUAGAUAACAUUCAUGCAUAUAAAAGUACUACUCCCUCCUGCUGGGAAAAAAAAAACCGUACUUUCAUUCCCGGGUUGUCUCAAAAAAUGUGACUUUUCAUUCAGAUUUCAGUUAUUUCCUGAGUCCAAAAUUUUCUUUUUGCCUGUUAGUAGCUGGACUUGGAAUAUUGGUCCAUAAACUUUAUUCUUUAAUAAAGGGCAUUUAAUGUGUUUCAUCAAUAGUCACUUCUAUUUAACUAUGUGAAGUCAAAUGUUGCAUUUAUCGGGAAUGGAGAUAGUACAUGAAGUUCGAAUGUAUACAUUUACUUCCAUUGUUGUAGGAACAUAAGAGUUUCAAUGCUUUAUAUGAACAUGCUCACUGGAUUUAUAAACGCUUGUAUUUUCUAAAGACGGCAACUAUAUAUUUUUAAUGUAACAAGAUGCAGCAAAGGGGAAAAGGUAUGAUAAAAACAUGAGUAACAUAAAUUCCCUUAAAAAAGAGAAGCACAAAGUAAUCAAAUAAAACUUACGUACGGAAAGUACGAAGAUGUAGAUCUUGGUCAUAUACAUCAAUACUUUUGCCAAAGCUAUGUGCCACAGCAGUCUGAAACAUUUGUACGAUGAAUUAUUAAGUGAAUAUGUAGCGUCAGUCCGUCAUGUUAUUUUUUAAUGAACCCGCUUAGGAAAAAAUUUAACAAAACAAAAAAUGAACUAUAUCAAUUUCAUGAACGAUCAAGAUAGCCUUAAGUAAUUAAAUACGUACCGUAGACCAUUGACUUGGACUGAAGCAAAGCCCGGCCCACCCAGCUUCUCCAACUCCAAAAUCCCGAGGUGAUACAGAAAAUGUAAGCCGUUCAACAUCUGAAAAUUUACUGAGAACAUGGAUAAACGGCAUCAAAAGUGAAAAGAAAUUGCUAAAGAAUUACAUCAUUUUUGUUUAAACAUCAUGUUUAAAACUGGUACCUGUACCAUCACUAUCCAUUUUGGAAACAAUAAGGUGUCCAUAGGAGUCAACGCUUCCCAAUAUUAAGCAAUCGUUACCUGCAGAAUUUGAAUCACACUUUAAUGUCGGAUGAACUACUUUCAUUUUCAAAAUUAAUAUGAAUAAACAUAUUUUUAGGGAUGGGGACGUCAACUAAUACAUAAAAAAGAACAAGAACUAUCAAUAAGAAAACCCUCAAUGUCAUAUACGUAACAAUAAAUUUUUGACAAAUGCAAGUUUCAUACUCAAAAGUCGAAAGAAACAACUAAUAAAGACCAAAGUAUAGAAUUAUAUUGAAAUAAGUAACAUAUGUAUGAAGAAUAUAAGAUACGGUGAUAUACAAUUUCAGAACAAAAGUUGAUUACGUUCAUAAUAAAGAUAUCUUAAUAAAUAAACAUGCAUGAAACAUACUCUCAGUUUCAUUCAAUAAUAUUGUCUGAAUUUCCGAUCGAUGAGGGCAGCGAUUCACUAUUGCAGACUCCACAACCUUCAGAUAUUAAAAUUUCAUAUAAGUGAACUGGAUCAUAAUCUGAAUAAUUGUGUAACAUUACGAUCAUAUAAAAGCUUACCUGAGUUUGUUCGGGUAUAAGAAGGCUAUCUUUUCCUUCAUUGACUAAAGAAUCUUUCAAAGAGACCUAUGGAAUAAAAGAGAAAAAAUUGGAAAUAAAUUGAUAGUAUAUUGGCCUCAAAAUAAAGUGGUGCAAUUGUAGAAUAAUACAAGGUGUUACAUUAUAUGUUCAGUGAUUAAAAUAAAACAAUGAAAAUGUAUAGGCAUGUAAACUAACCGAAUGUUCAGUGAAUCGUUCGAAGGGAAGUUCAUUUAUGUCCGUUCAUUUAACAAACGAACAAACAUGGACACAUAUUUUUGUUCAUUUAAUUAAACGCACGAACAUGAACACGUCGUGUUCCUUCUUUACGUUCAUGAACAUUCAUUUCGUUCAAAUGUGUUCGCUUAUAUAUUCAUUCAGAAUUAUAUAGUGUUAAUAUUAAUUACAGUUUGAUUUACAUAUUUUAAAACCCCUAAUCCUAAUUUAAAAUCAAGUUGAUAUCUUUGCUUACUUUUGAAAUUUAGAUACAAACUCUACAAGGAUGGUGGUAUUUUGGAAUUUGAUUUGAAUUAACACUAGGGCUGCAAAAGAACCGAACGAACAAGAACACAGCCUUGUUCAUGUUCAUUUGCUAAGGAAAUAAGGUGUUCACGAACUGUUCAUGAACACUAAUCGAACAAGAUUUUUUGUUUGUAUUCGUUUGUUAAGGAAAUGAAUGUGUUCGUGUUCGUUUGUGUUUGUUCGUUAAUUUUAGGUACCGGACUAAAGCGAACACAAACGAACGUUCGUGAAUAUAGACGAACACAAAUAAAGGCAAACAAACAUAAACAAGUGUUCAUGAACAUAAACGAACACAAUCCACCCCUAUCUUGUACUGAGAAUGACGAAGAACACGAGUACAAUAAUUUAUAAGUGAGAAUUUCGAAGUACUUAAAUAAAAUAUAAAAGUUAAAAACCCUAAUAAAUUGUCGAACAUAAACGAACAUGUUACCGAACGUUCACGAACAUAAAUGAACGAGCGCCACCCUGUUCAUGUUCGUUUGUUUAACUACACGAACAAAAUUUCUUGUUCGUGUUUGUUCAUUUAUUAAACGAACGAACACAAGCGAACUUCCCGCCAAACGGUUCACGAACUGUUCGACGAACGUUUGGUUCAUUUACAGCCCUAAUUAACACACUUACUUUUAGUUGGUGUUCAUUUGUAUUCAUGGACCAUUUGUAUAGAAUAUUAGCAAACAAACACAUCCAUUUUCUUAACAAACAAACACGAACAAGAAAACCGCUCGUUUAAGUGUUCAUGUUUGUUCGAUUCGUUUACAAGCCUAAAAUGUAGUCUUUCCAAUCUAAGGACAUGGAGUUGUAACAUGGCUUUCUAAACCAAAUAAGUUAAAAUAUCAUUUUGCUAGGGUUUAGGGUUUAUGUCCUGAAUAAAAACAGAACUACAAAAUGAACUCUAUGUUACCUCAUAACCAAACCUAACACGUAUACAAGAUU